GGAGGGGAGUGAAAUAGAACCUGAAACCGUGUGCCUACAACCGCUCAGAGCCCCUUAUGAGGGUGAUGAGGUGCUUUUUGUAGAACGAGCCAACGAGUUACGGUAUGUAGCAAGGUUAAGUACUUAAGGUACGGAGCCGAAGGGAAACCGAGUCUGAAUAGGGCGACUAGUUGCAUGCCGUAGACCCGAAACCGGGUGACCUAUCCAUGGCCAGGUUGAAGCGAGGGUAAAACCUCGUGGAGGACCGAACCACGUUGCUGUUGAAAAAGCAUGGGAUGAGCUGUGGAUAGCGGAGAAAUUCCAAUCGAACCCGGAGAUAGCUGGUUCUCUCCGAAAUAGCUUUAGGGCUAGCGUCGAGUAUGAGUAGUGGAGGUAGAGCACUGAAUGGGCUAGGGGGCAUAGCGCUUACCGAACCUUAUCAAACUCCGAAUGCCACAUACUUUGAGCUCGGCAGUCAGACUACGAAUGAUAAGAUCCGUGGUCAAAAGGGAAACAGCCCAGAUCGUCAGCUAAGGUCCCAAAGUGUAAGUUAAGUGGGAAAGGAUGUGAGAUUUCUAAGACAACUAGGAUGUUGGCUUAGAAGCAGCCAUUCAUUAAAAGAGUGCGUAAUAGCUCACUAGUCGAGAGAUCUUGCGCCGAAAAUGUAACGGGGCUAAACUUACCACCGAAGCUACGGGCUUGAACU
RNAcentral lists this ribosomal RNA (685 nucleotides) under Clostridium perfringens. RNAcentral's name for it is "bacterial LSU rRNA". It matches the Rfam family "Bacterial large subunit ribosomal RNA", at positions 530 to 1214 of the family's 2925-position model. Lineage: Bacteria; Bacillati; Bacillota; Clostridia; Eubacteriales; Clostridiaceae. The record is from RNAcentral.